This is a long non-coding RNA of Triticum aestivum (bread wheat), 866 nucleotides long. RefSeq lists it as uncharacterized. Lineage: Eukaryota; Viridiplantae; Streptophyta; Magnoliopsida; Poales; Poaceae. The record is from RefSeq and is a predicted model, not a curated record. The transcript has 2 exons.
CUGUGGUUGCUUUCUCUCAUUCAUCUUAUCUUCUUUAUCUCUCCAACUACUCGUUUCUGGUGGUCGCCGCCAAUGUGGCGAGCUCGUCACCAUGGCCGCCGGCGACUCGAUGCGCCUCGUGUGCAUCGAUGGCGCGGGAUGCACCCCCUCUCCAUGGCCGCUCACAGCCACGGGCGCACUCGUCUCCUUGUCCGCCUCCGCCAGGAGCUGGAUGUGCGCCCUCUCCAUGGCCGCCAAAGCCAGGGUGUGCCAGUCGCCAUGGCCAAGCUGCAACCGGCCACGGGGGCGGCGAGUUCGUGCUGGAACCGAGGGGAUUUGCUAGAACCAGCUGUUGUACAUGCUACAAGGUCGAUGCCUCGCCGGAGGAAGCUACAUCCAGCGGUGAAGAGUGUUGCAUCCAACGCCAUUCGAUGUCGGGAGCUGCAAGCGUGCACGUCGGAGCUGCGACCGGCUACUAGUGGAGCUGCAAGAGGGGAGGCCAUUUUUUGUGGAUGUGUUCUCGUUUUGCCGAACCAAUUAUGCUUUUGCUGGAACCGAUGUAUUUUUUUACUGGAACCGAGAUAAUUUUUUGCUUCAACUAUUGCACAGCUCUUAAAUGCUCAUGUCGUUUUUUGCUGGGACCUAAGUUUGUUUGUGCCGGAAGCAUUUCUGAUUUUGCUUCAACUGACCACUCUACUUUGACCCGCGGAGAAAAAUUUUGCUGCUUCCAAUUUUUGCUGCUUGGCACUCUGACCCCGGCGGGCGGGAGACGCAGAGAUGCUACAACUAGCCACCCGAGCGCUAUUAUCACUGAAAGCUGAAUCUAGCAAUUUGUUCUGUAAUCAUCAUCUUUUUUUAACUGAAAACAGCUCCAAUUUUUGCUUUCA